GACGAACGCUGGCGGCGUGCUUAACACAUGCAAGUCGUACGGUAAGGCCCUUUCGGGGGUACACGAGUGGCGCACGGGUGAGUAACACGUGAGUAACCUGCCCACAACUUUGGGAUAACGCUAGGAAACUGGUGCUAAUACUGGAUAUGUGCUCCUGCUGCAUGGUGGGGGUUGGAAAGCUCCGGCGGUUGUGGAUGGACUCGCGGCCUAUCAGCUUGUUGGUGGGGUAGUGGCCUACCAAGGCGGCGACGGGUAGCCGGCCUGAGAGGGUGACCGGCCACAUUGGGACUGAGAUACGGCCCAGACUCCUACGGGAGGCAGCAGGGGGGAAUAUUGCACAAUGGGCGCAAGCCUGAUGCAGCAACGCCGCGGGCGGGAUGACGGCCUUCGGGUUGUAAACCGCUUUCAGCAGGGACGAAGCUUUUUGUGACGGUACCUGCAGAAGAAGCACCGGCUAACUACGUG
This 465-nucleotide ribosomal RNA is filed under the name uncultured bacterium. RNAcentral's name for it is "partial 16S ribosomal RNA". It matches the Rfam family "Bacterial small subunit ribosomal RNA", at positions 28 to 507 of the family's 1533-position model. The record is from RNAcentral.